UGGUUCUGGCAUCGAUGAAGAACGCAGCGAAAUGCGAUAAGUAAUGCGAAUUGCAGAAUUCCAGUGAGUCAUCGAAUCUUUGAACGCACAUUGCGCCCUUUGGUAUUCCGAAGGGCAUGCCUGUUCGAGCGUCAUUAUCACCCCUCAAGCCCUCGGCUUGGUGUUGGACGGUUUGGUGGAGGCCCCUCGCGGGCAUCUGCCCCUCCCAAAGACAAUGACGGCGGCCUCGUUGGACCCCCGGUACACUGAGUUCUUCACGGGACACGUACUGGGCACAUGGGUUCACGGGGCACGGUCUGCCUCCCCUCAGGGAGAAUUUUUUUUAAGGUUGACCUCGGAUCAGGUAGGGAUACCCGCUGA
Molecule: unclassified non-coding RNA, 360 nt
Filed under: uncultured fungus
Lineage: Eukaryota; Fungi
Description: partial contains 5.8S ribosomal RNA and internal transcribed spacer 2
Rfam family: 5.8S ribosomal RNA (bases 1-134)
Source: RNAcentral